GACAUAGGUCGCAAACGUUAUCCGGAAUUAUUGGGCGUAAAGGAUGCGUAGAUGGUUCAGUAAGUUACUGGUGGGAAAUCGAGGCCCAACCUCGUGGAAGUUAGUAAUACUGUUGAACUUGAGUGCGGGAGAGGUUAACGGAACUUCAUGUGGAGCGGUAAAAUGCGUAGAUAUAUGAAAGAACAUCAAUAUGGCGAAGGCAGUUAACUAUUCUGCUACUGACAUUGAGGCAUGAAAGCGUGGGGAGCAAAACGG
This 255-nucleotide ribosomal RNA is filed under the name uncultured bacterium. RNAcentral's name for it is "partial 16S ribosomal RNA". It matches the Rfam family "Bacterial small subunit ribosomal RNA", at positions 524 to 776 of the family's 1533-position model. The record is from RNAcentral.